Lotus japonicus is the source of this 4634-nucleotide RNA transcript. RefSeq lists it as uncharacterized. The record is from RefSeq and is a predicted model, not a curated record. The transcript is spliced from 11 exons. Lineage: Eukaryota; Viridiplantae; Streptophyta; Magnoliopsida; Fabales; Fabaceae.
UUUUGUUUAAAAUUUGUUCUCCCUGUUCGUUUCUUGUAUUGUAUCUCUCUCUUUCUCUGUUUCAUGUCUUUGUUUCGUUACCAGAUUCCCUCUAUCACCCUCUGCUUCUUCUUCUGAUUUUGCUUCCCAAACCAACACAAAUCUUCUCCUUCCUUUCAAUUCCAAAACCUCAGCUUCAAACCUCUCUACUUCAACACUCCCAUUUUCUGAUUCUUCUUCUUCUUCUCUGUUCCUUUCUCACUCUCUCUUCCAAGCGAUCGGGAAUUUGAUGCCCACCACCAUUUCCAUAUUCCCCUUCCUUCUAUCGCUGUUGCCACGCCCCCAUCAUUGAACUGGUUUCGGAAUGGGAUUCUCCCACGAUUUUUCAUUAGGGUUUUAACUGUCCCACUGUUCCCUCUUGUUUCCCAGGGUUUCAUUGCAUGGGCGAGCAUGAGAGUUGGCCGCAGCCACUGCCACCAAGUGGGUUAUUGCCGAAUGGCCUGUUGCCCGAUGAUGCCGCAUCGGUGAUGAGAGUGCUUGACAUGGAGCGAUGGUUGAAGGCUGAAGAAAGGAUUGCAGAGCUAAUUGCCUCCAUUCAGCCUAAUCCACCCUCUGAGGACCGCCGCCACGCAGUUGCUGACUAUGUUCAGCGGCUCAUCACCAAGUGCUUCCCUUGCCAGGUGUUCACCUUUGGCUCAGUACCCCUCAAAACUUACCUGCCUGAUGGAGAUAUUGACUUAACUGCAUUCAGUGAGAGUCAAAAUGUGAAGGAUGCAUGGGCGCAUCAAGUCCGUGACAUGCUUGAGAAAGAGGAAAAGGAUGAGAAUGCUGAGUUUCAUGUCAAGGAAGUUCAGUUCAUCCAAGCUGAGGUGAAGAUUAUAAAGUGUCUUGUUGAGAAUAUUGUGGUAGACAUUUCAUUUAACCAGCUAGGAGGGUUGUGUACCCUUUGUUUUCUGGAGGAGGUUGAUAAUUUGAUCAAUCAAAACCAUUUAUUCAAGCGUAGCGUGAUCCUUAUAAAAGCUUGGUGUUACUAUGAAAGCCGUAUACUUGGUGCUCACCAUGGACUUAUCUCAACUUAUGCAUUAGAAACCUUGGUUCUUUACAUAUUUCACGUUUUCAACAACUCUUUUGCUGGACCACUUGAGGUAUUGUAUCGGUUUCUGGAGUUUUUUAGUAAGUUUGACUGGGAUAAUUUUUGUGUGAGCCUAUGGGGUCCAGUACCCAUUAGUUCGCUCCCAGAUGUGACAGCUGAACCUCCGCGGAAGGACAGUGGAGAUUUACUGCUCAGCAAGUUAUUUCUUGAUGCUUGUAGCACAGUUUAUGCUGUUUUCCCCAGUAGCCAAGAAAAUCAGGGGCAACCCUUUGUUUCCAAGUAUUUCAAUGUUAUCGAUCCUCUGCGUGUCAGCAAUAACCUUGGGCGUAGCGUUAGUAAAGGUAAUUUCUUUAGGAUACGCAGUGCUUUUGCAUUUGGGGCCAAAAAGCUGGCUAGACUGCUUGAUUGCCCUAAGCAUGAAUUGUUUUUGGAAGUCAAUCAGUUCUUUUUGAACACAUGGGAUAGACAUGGAAGUGGACAACGGCCUGAUGUUCCAUGCAAUGAUUUGUGGCGCUUGAGAUUAUCUAGUCAUGAACAAGGCUCUGAGAAUCUUCAGAAAAACAAUAAAAAUACAUAUAGCAGCUCUAAUUGUGUAAUGCAAGUCAAAGGGCCACAUACUUCACGAAGUGGUUUAUCUAAUAGUAGUUUGUCCUCUGAAAACUUAUCUAAAAGUGAUGAUGUUUCUACAGUAUCGAAUUCUUAUGCCAACCAAAAUAAUGUCAGGACUUCUGAUCAAGUCAGAAGGGAAGCUACAUGUAAUGAAGGUGCUCAUAUUGAUAAAGGUUUGAGAAAUGUCAAACCCGAUCGUCCAUUGAGUGAUGUGCCAGGAAGAUUUUUAUUUGCAAGAACACGUUCUAGUCCUGAGCUGACUGACACAUAUGGUGCAGUUGCUUCCCUUGGAAGUCGUAUGACAACUCAAGAAAGUGGGAGAGGCCCAAAUUCUUCUGCAAAUUUGGAGAAUAGCAAUGGGAAGUAUCUUGAUCAUGACAUGCCAGCAGGUUAUGGUGUUAGAAUUGACAAUGCAUCUGAUGGACACAUUGUAUCUCAUCAUGUUUUUGAUAGUGCUGCUGAUUCAAACAAUGGUUUAAAUAUUUAUGAUGAUGAAUCAGGCUCCGGUGUUGGGGGGGAAGAGUUUGCAUCUGUUUCAGGAGCAGGUGGAACACAUAUGAUGCAUCAAGAGGAACAGGAUCUUUUGAACAUGAUGUCAUCUCCCAGAGCUCAAGGUUUCACCGGUCAGGCUCGCAUUCCAGUGAAUUUAGCUCCAGGUCACUUCCCACUACCUUUUUCACCUUCCAUUCUUGCAUCCAUGGGAUAUGCUCAGAGAAACAUGGGUAACUUUCCCUUGAUUGAGGCUCCGUGGGGUUCUAAUAUGCAAUUUCCCCAAGGUUUAGUCCCUUCACCGUUGACUCCAUAUUUCCCUGGCAUUGGGUUGCCCUCAGGUCCAGAAGAUUUAAUUGAAACUGGCCAUGAGAAUCACAGUUCUGUUGAAGCAAGCCAGGCAGAAGUUGAUAAUGAUUUCUGGUAUGAGCAAGAAAGGCCUUCUGCUAGUGGGGUUGGAGUUGUUGAUGGAAAUUUUGAAGUACUUCAAGAUGAUAAGCAACAAUCAACUUCAAGUGGUUAUAACUCUGCCACAUCAUCUCAUGUUCGCAGCUCUAGUAAUUCUGCUAGACUUCAGGAGGAGUUUACCACUAAGGAAAACCAAGGUUCAACAAAAGAAGAGCACAUUGAUUCUUCUCAAUAUCAAUAUGGAAGAGGAAAUGAUGUUUAUUUUGAUGAUAGAGUAGCAAAUUCUAGGUUUCCCAAUGCACCAUCUUCCAGCUCCUUCAGGAGUAAGACAUCUUCUGAAAGCUCUUGGGAAGGAUCAUCAGCAAAAUCCUCAAAAUCAACAAGAGAAAAAAGAGGUAAGAAAAAUACUCCAUCAGCGCCGUCUGCUUCUUACGGGAAGGGCAAGAAUGUCUUAGAAACUUCAUGUAAUCUAGUGGAUGAUGAAAAUUGGCAGGGGACUGAGCCAGCUGAUAUGUCAGAAAGAAGCUCUGGGCCAGUUGUUGCUCCCAUGCAUACCCCAAGACAGCAAGUAUCUGGUUAUGAAGCAGCUCAGACUAGUGGCCUAGAUUCUAUGUUACCUCCAAUGCUUAUUGGCCAUGGCUCUCGCCAAAGGCCCAAUGAUAAUUCUGGGGCUGUUCCGUUUGCAUUCUAUCCUACAGGGCCACCAGUACCAUUUGUUACUAUGCUUCCAUUUUAUAAUUUUCCUAAUGAAUCUUCUGACACAUCAACAAGCAAUUUCAAUGUGGAAGAAGGGGCGGACAGCAAUGAUUCUAGUCAGAAUUUUGAUUCAUCUGAGGGUCGUUCUCCUUGGGAUGGUCCUGGAAGACCACCUUCAGCUAAUAUGAAUAUUUUCCCGCUUAUGAGCUAUGGGCCACAUCUAGUACCUGUUGCUCCUCUCCAUUCAGUUUCUAAUAGACCACCUAAUAUUUACCCACGUUUUGGAGAUGAGAUACCACGGUAUCGUAGUGGCACUGGAACCUAUCUGCCAAAUCCUAAGGUUUCUGUUCGAGAUCGACAUUCUAACAAUACCAGAAGGGGUAGUUACAAUUAUGAUAGAAGUGAUCACCAUGGUGACAGAGAAGGGAACUGGAAUAUGAACUCAAAGGUGCGAACAACUGGGCGUGGACAUAAUCGCAUUCAAACUGAGAAGUCUAGCUCAAGGUCAAAUAGGUUGGCAGCAAGUGAGAGCAACUCUGAAAGACUGUGGGGUUCACAUAGACAUGACUCUUUUGUUUCUCACCAGAAUCGAAAUGGCCCUGUUCACGUAAAUUCCUCACAAAAUACUUCUGCAAAUGUGGCAUAUGGAAUGUACCCUCUACCCGGCAUGAACUCCGGCGGUAAUGGACCAACAGUUCCAUCUGUUGUAAUGUUCUAUCCUUAUGAUCAUAAUACUGGAACUCCGGGACAUGUGGGUUUCUCAGGUAAUGAGGGAAGUGAAUCUGGUGGAGCAUUUGAGGAGCAGAGGUUUCAUGGUGGCACUCCUAAACAAUGCUCACCGGAUCAACCUUCUUCACCUCGUGCCCCAAGGUAGUUGACUCUUUCUGUCUCCAAGCUACCACUUUUAGCUAGGCGGAUAACUAAUUGUGUGAAGCAGCUUGCAACAUUUGAUAUUGUCAGAUUAUGUUUAUGAUGGUUAGAGUCCCAGUGUCGAAUCUCUCUAAAUAUGUGGCACCAGGGGGCAUUAAUUCUAUUGACAAAUCUCUUGUGAAGGCCCCUCGUUGUGCCCUUCCUGUUGCAUGUAUACUUACAGGUGAUUAACACACUUUAUUUACAUUUUUUCAUCCAAGACCUUGUUUAAGGAUGAAGAACAGUAGAUUAAAGAGAAUGCAAUGCUCAGUGUUAGUUUUUUAUUAAAGUUUAGACAUACAACCAGUCAAAUCACAAGUUUUACCAUGUUAAAGUUUUGUCAGCUCAUCUUAUACCAUGUGUUAGCGUAGGGCUUUUGUUUUACAAGAUGCAGCAACACUAACAUUGUAACACUAUCAUUAUCAGAAAAUAAUAUUAGAUGUCAUUUGCA